Molecule: ribosomal RNA, 430 nt
Filed under: uncultured bacterium
Lineage: Bacteria
Description: partial 16S ribosomal RNA
Rfam family: Bacterial small subunit ribosomal RNA
Source: RNAcentral
GUGGGGAAUAUUGCACAAUGGGCGCAAGCCUGAUGCAGCAACGCCGCGUGAGGGACGACGGCCUUCGGGUUGUAAACCUCUUUUAGCAGGGAAGAAGCGAAAGUGACGGUACCUGCAGAAAAAGCACCGGCUAACUACGUGCCAGCAGCCGCGGUAAUACGUAGGGUGCAAGCGUUGUCCGGAAUUAUUGGGCGUAAAGAGCUCGUAGGCGGUUUGUCGCGUCUGCUGUGAAAACCCGAGGCUCAACCUCGGGCCUGCAGUGGGUACGGGCAGACUAGAGGGCGGUAGGGGAGAUUGGAAUUCCUGGUGUAGCGGUGGAAUGCGCAGAUAUCAGGAGGAACAUCGAUGGCGAAGGCAGAUCUCUGGGCCGUAACUGACGCUGAGGAGCGAAAGCGUGGGGAGCGAACAGGAUUAGAUACCCCGGUAGUCC